This is a long non-coding RNA of Meriones unguiculatus (Mongolian gerbil), 876 nucleotides long. RefSeq lists it as uncharacterized. The record is from RefSeq and is a predicted model, not a curated record. NCBI's taxonomy places the organism in Eukaryota, Metazoa, Chordata, Mammalia, Rodentia, Muridae. The transcript has 4 exons.
CAAGGUUCCUGAAUAAACUGCAUUGAAAAAAAAAAAAAAAAGCAGAAGCUAGCUUGAUUGGCAGACCCAUGACCGGAAGGAUCCCAUCCCAUUGAACGCUGCUUCAAAAAUUCCAGGAAGUUAAGGAACCAAAUGGGCCUGGGAGUGGCGUUCAGUCAUCUGGAAGAUGUCUGUGACUUUCCCUGCUUCCUGUGAGAUGUAGAGAGAUGCCCUUAACUCCAAGUCAAACCCAGCAAACAAAGACUCUCACUGACCACUUGAAGACUACGGAGUUGCCUACGCUAGCAUGGAAAAGAAGAAACAGCAUGUAUUCCGUGUUCCGAAGCCCCGUGUCAAAUUUGAAGUAAGAUUCAGGAAAGUGGAAUGUGAAGAGUGAACUCAGGGUAUGACUUUGAAAUAUUAAAUUACAAUGGAUUGAAAUCUGUGCCUGAAUUUAAGAUAUGCCUAAUAUUUCUAAGUUGAUAAAAUAUUGGUGGCUAAAUGCCAGUAUAUUAUUGACAAGUAAAUUAUCCAUUCCCCUCAACCUUGAGUUUCUUCAUAAAGAAAAGUAAGCUUUCUGCCUAUUCAUAGGAUGUCAAGCCUAAGGUAAUCAAGAGUUCAAAAGUACUUGUAUUGGCUAGACCUCUUGCAGUCCUGCUCUUCACCAUGAGAGGAACAUGAUUCUUCCAGCAGUACAAGGAAUAUGACAGUUACGUGGAGUAAAUGUAAACCCAAUACAUAAACUGCAGCCAUGCCUGACCUAGAACAGCUGGAUUCUAACCAACUGCUUCAUAUCUAACAAAUGCAUAAGAAGAUAUAAACUAAUUUAGUCAUUCUCUCCUAUUUAUAUGUGUUAGAUUAUUCAUCUUUUUUAUUUUAGUAACUUAAAGAGUGCUA